UUUCCGUUGGUGAACCAGCGGAGGGAUCAUUACUGGACUCGCAAGACUCCAUCACCCUGUGAACUUAACUUCAAGCACGUUGCUUCGGCGGGUGCCUCGGCGACGGUCCACCCUCCCCGGGGCGCGACAUCCGCUGGCAGCCCAUCAAUCCCUGUCUCCCUCCGUUGGCAUCUAGAGUACAAACAAACAAGACAAAACAUACAACAACAGAUCUCCUGGUUACGGCAGCGAUGAAGAACGCAGCAGCUCGGAAGAGCACAGCUCAGAAGAACAGCACAC
RNAcentral lists this unclassified non-coding RNA (279 nucleotides) under plant metagenome. RNAcentral's name for it is "partial contains small subunit ribosomal RNA, internal transcribed spacer 1, and 5.8S ribosomal RNA". The record is from RNAcentral.